RNAcentral lists this ribosomal RNA (338 nucleotides) under Manga nubifera. RNAcentral describes it as "partial 12S ribosomal RNA". The record is from RNAcentral. Lineage: Eukaryota; Metazoa; Arthropoda; Insecta; Lepidoptera; Noctuidae.
AAGAUACUAAAAUAGUAGAUAAAUAUUUAUUUAAACUUAAAUAAUUUGGCGGUAUUUUAGUUCAUUUAGAGGAAUCUGUUUAAUAAUUGAUAUUCCACGAAUAAAUUUACUUAAUUUAUUAUUUUGUAUAUCGUUGUUAUAAAAAUAUUUUUUAAUAAAAUUAAUAUUUAAAAAUUAAUAUGUAAAUUUAAAUCAGAUCAAGAUGCAGAUUAUAAUUAAGAAUAUAAUGGAUUACAAUAAAUUUAUUUAAAUGAAUAUUAAUUUGUAAAAAUUAAUUUAAAGUGGAUUUAAAUGUAAUUUUAUUUAAUUUAAUAAAAUGAUUAAAAAUUAAAAUAUGU